AGGUUACUGCUAUCGGUGUUCGCCUAAGCCAUGCGAGUCAUAUGUUCGUAAGAACAUGGCGUACUGCUCAGUAACACGUGGAUAACCUGCCCUUGGGUCCGGCAUAACCCCGGGAAACUGGGGAUAAUUCCGGAUAACGCACAUAUGCUGGAAUGCUUUAUGCGUAAAAUGGAUUCGUCUGCCCAAGGAUGGGUCUGCGGCCUAUCAGGUAGUAGUGGGUGUAAUGUACCUACUAGCCUACGACGGGUACGGGUUGUGAGAGCAAGAGCCCGGAGAUGGAUUCUGAGACAUGAAUCCAGGCCCUACGGGGCGCAGCAGGCGCGAAAACUUUACAAUGCGGGAAACCGUGAUAAGGGGACACCGAGUGCCAGCAUCCUAUGCUGGCUGUCCGGGUGUGUAAAAUACACCUGUUAGCAAGGGCCGGGCAAGACCGGUGCCAGCCGCCGCGGUAACACCGGCGGCCCGAGUGGUGAUCGUGAUUAUUGGGUCUAAAGGGUCCGUAGCCGGUUUGGUCAGUCCUCCGGGAAAUCUGACAGCUUAACUGUUAGGCUUUCGGAGGAUACUGCCAGACUUGGAACCGGGAGAGGUAAGAGGUACUACAGGGGUAGGAGUGAAAUCUUGUAAUCCCUGUGGGACCACCUGUGGCGAAGGCGUCUUACCAGAACGGGUUCGACGGUGAGGGACGAAAGCUGGGGGCACGAGCCGGAUUAGAUACCCGGGUAGUCCCAGCCGUAAACGAUGCUCGCUAGGUGUCAGGCAUGGCGCGACCGUGUCUGGUGCCGCAGGGAAGCCGUGAAGCGAGCCACCUGGGAAGUACGGCCGCAAGGCUGAAACCUAA
RNAcentral lists this ribosomal RNA (838 nucleotides) under uncultured archaeon. RNAcentral describes it as "bacterial SSU rRNA". It matches the Rfam family "Archaeal small subunit ribosomal RNA", at positions 21 to 859 of the family's 1478-position model. The record is from RNAcentral.